Molecule: long non-coding RNA, 260 nt
Filed under: Setaria viridis
Lineage: Eukaryota; Viridiplantae; Streptophyta; Magnoliopsida; Poales; Poaceae
Description: long non-coding RNA (SVIR_LNC005377)
Source: RNAcentral
GGGCGGUUGGGGGCUACACCCCACGGGUGCCCAGUCAUGUUGGUCCUUUUCGCACAGUUCCGACUGCUUUGCGGCUUAUCCGUCCCUCUUAAUGGUUGCUAAAGUACUCGGGUAGCACACGCCUUAAUCUGUGAAACCUUGACUCAUCCUGCGUGUCUUCUAUAUGCGAGCAUCGGGUCAGCCCCAACACUAUAGCCUGAGAUAAGCUGUCCUCUCCAUGAGCAAUGGUCAGCAAAGCUAGGUGCUUAAAUAUAACAGCC